AGAGUUUGAUCCUGGCUCAGGAUGAACGCUAGCGGCAGGCUUAACACAUGCAAGUCGAGGGGUAACAUUGAUGCUUGCAUCAGAUGACGACCGGCGCACGGGUGAGUAACGCGUAUACAAUCUACCUUUAACAGGAGGAUACCCUUUAGAAAUGAAGAAUAACACUCCAUGGUAUUUAGAAAUGGCAUCAUUUCAAUAUUAAAGGUUACGGCAAAAGAUGAGUAUGCGUUCUAUUAGCUAGAUGGUGUGGUAACGGCACACCAUGGCAACGAUAGAUAGGGGCCCUGAGAGGGGGAUCCCCCACACUGGUACUGAGACACGGACCAGACUCCUACGGGAGGCAGCAGUGAGGAAUAUUGGGCAAUGGAGGCAACUCUGACCCAGCCAUGCCGCGUGCAGGAAGACUGCCCUAUGGGUUGUAAACUGCUUUUAUACAGGAAGAAACAGCUCUUCGCGAAAGAGCCUUGACGGUACUGUAAGAAUAAGGAUCGGCUAACUCCGUGCCAGCAGCCGCGGUAAUACGGAGGAUCCAAGCGUUAUCCGGAAUCAUUGGGUUUAAAGGGUCCGUAGGUGGAUAAUUAAGUCAGAGGUGAAAUCCUGCAGCUCAACUGUAGAAUUGCCUUUGAAACUGGUUAUCUUGAGUCAUUAUGAAGUGAUUAGAAUGUGUAGUGUAGCGGUGAAAUGCAUAGAUAUUACACAGAAUACCGAUUGCGAAGGCAGAUCACUAAUAAUGUACUGACACUGAUGGACGAAAGCGUGGGUAGCGAACAGGAUUAGAUACCCUGGUAGUCCACGCCGUAAACGAUGGUCACUAGCUGUUCGGAACUUGUUUCUGAGUGGCUAAGCGAAAGUGAUAAGUGACCCACCUGGGGAGUACGUUCGCAAGAAUGAAAACUCAAAGGAAUUGACGGGGGCCCGCACAAGCGGUGGAGCAUGUGGUUUAAUUCAAUGAUACGCGAGGAACCUUACCAGGGCUUAAAUGUAAGUUGCAUGAUUUAGAGAUAGAUCUUUCUUCGGACUACUUACAAGGUGCUGCAUGGUUGUCGUCAGCUCGUGCCGUGAGGUGUCAGGUUAAGUCCUAUAACGAGCGCAACCCCUGUUGUUAGUUGCCAUCGAGCAAAGUCGGGAACUCUAACAAGACUGCCAGUGCAAACUGUGAGGAAGGUGGGGAUGACGUCAAAUCAUCACUGCCCUUACGACCUGGGCUACACACUUGCUACAAUGGGCAGUACAGAGGGAUUCAAACUCGCGAGAGUAAGCGGACCCCAGAAAGCUGUUCGUAGUCCGGAUUGGAGUCUGCAACUCGACUCCAUGAAGUCGGAAUCGCUAGUAAUCGCGGAUCAGAAUGCCGCGGUGAAUACGUUCCCGGGCCUUGUACACACCGCCCGUCACACCAUGGGAGUGGGUUGCAAAAGAAGUGGCUAGUUUAACCUUCGGGAGAACGGUCACCACUUUGUGGCUCAUGACUGGGGUGAAGUCGAAACAAGGUAACC
Molecule: ribosomal RNA, 1493 nt
Filed under: uncultured prokaryote
Description: partial 16S ribosomal RNA
Rfam family: Bacterial small subunit ribosomal RNA
Source: RNAcentral